Long non-coding RNA from Canis lupus familiaris (dog), 805 nucleotides. RefSeq lists it as uncharacterized. The transcript is spliced from 3 exons. Lineage: Eukaryota; Metazoa; Chordata; Mammalia; Carnivora; Canidae. The record is from RefSeq and is a predicted model, not a curated record.
UAAAUUGUUUUUUUAAGAUACUAUAUACACACACAUAUACAUACAUACUUUAGGUCAGCAUAUUAUGAGCUCUUUGAUAACAGGGAUUUUUACUUGCUCAUUUUUGUUUCAUCAGUGCAUUCUCUGAGGGUUGGAACAUAUGUGGUAGAUAUCCUGUCAUGUUUGCUGAGAGAUUGACAGAACCAAUAAUAAGUAAUGAAAGUAAAAUUGGUCAUUCAAUGAUAUUUCAAAUGAUCCCAUAUGGUAUUCUAGUGGUUUAAAUGGUGGCCACCAACAAGACGUGUCUAUGUCCAAUGCCCUGUGAACCCCUAAACCUUUAUUUGGAAAAUGAGUAUUUGCAGGUAUAAUUAAGGAUCUUGAGGUGAGAUCAUCCUGGAUACUUGCUAGGCCUUAAAUAUAAUGACAAAUGUUCCUCUAAGAGACAGAAGAGGAUUGAAACACCCAGAGAAAAAGAUGAUGUGAAGAGGAGGCAGAGAUUGGAAAUGAUAUGGCUACAAGCCAAGGAAACCAAGAAAUGGUGAUAAUCACCUGAAGCUGGAAAAGUAAAGGAAGGAUUCUCCACUGGGAGGUUCCACGGGGAUCUGUAUACAAGAGGAAACCCAUGUGAGGCAGCAGAAGGGGAAAGGGAGGGAUCUCCAGAUGAAAACUAGGAAUUGGUGCCAACAGGAGGGUGCAUGAAAGAGCAGGAGUCACCUGAAGAGAGUGCAACUUACAGAGGCAAAUCUGGGCAUUUGCUCACCAUGAAUAACCUUCAAAUCAUCCUGAAAACCUACGAAUUCGGCCUGAGAUUUAAAGAGAGACCAGC